GUGAAUUUAGAGGCUAAAUUUUGGUUAUAAUUGAUAAGUACUCCAUUCGAUCGGGGGUCUGUCCAGUCAGUGACAACAAGGAGAGAGCUUGAAAAUGGCAAUGGCCUGGAGGCUUCCUACCCAGCUGGCAACGCCCGGAAACCUCCAUCACAAUGACUCCAAAACGCCGUCGUUCGAAGCCUCACUCUUAUGGUGCCGGACUUUAGCUCCAGACCAUCUCCUUCCUAUGUCAAAAUCUUCCACCUCUACCGCCACUGGUUUGUCUCCUCCUCACUUUAACAGGAAAGCUUUCGUUUUGCCACUUCAAUUCACAAGAUUGAAAAGAACCCAUUUUUUUAUUUACAAAUUUGAAAAGAACCCUUUUUUUCUUAUUUUUGAUUUUUGUGUGUUGGGACCAAUACGCGGCGUUUCAUGAAAUGUACGGCAAGGACGGGAGCUGGGGCUGUGAAUCUUGCUCCGGGGAGACCCGUUUGACCCCCCAACAUACUGGUGGUCGGCCCCACCGGGACUCUGAGGAGGCAGAUUGUGAGGAGAGCACUUGAUGAAGGAUGUGAUCGCUUUGCAGAGUGAAUGUGAUGUGCUCAUGUGUUGGUGAACAGGCAGACCUUAGCAAACCAGAGACAAUCAUCAAUUGCGCCACGGGACAUCCAGAAGAGCCCAUAAAAAAGGUUGGGAAGGAAAAGUUGCUCUUAUACAAUGUGUGAAAGCAAUGGGAAUCCAAAAAUUUGUAUUCUAUUCCAUCCACAACUGUGACAAGCAUCCCGAAGUUCCACUUAUGGAUAUCAAGUAUUUCACUGAAAAGUUUCUCCAGGAUUCAGGCAUAAAUUACAUCGUAAUUCAUUUAUGUGGAUUCAUGCAAGUUCCAACGUAUCAGCAGCAGAAGCUUCAGGUCCUUUUCUGAAAAUAACAGUACCAAGACUCCAAACUCCAAAGAGUCCAUUGUCUCCAACACUGGCCUUAAGCCCAUCACUUGAAUUCAAGUUGGUCUGGUCGGUUUUGUUGCUAGUUUUGUAAUUGCUGAACCUGGGCUUUCUGUUUUUUCAUUCGUUCUCAUCGCUUCUACAGAAGAGGUCAGUUUUCUUUUCUGCUUUAAACAGGGUUUAAAGAGUAAUUAUAUGUGAUUGAUUUUCUGCUAUGGUGCGUAUUGAAAUUUCUUAUUUAUAUAAUUGUAGAUGUUCUUAGUGUGCAUUUAUUUUACUUGAUUGGUUUAUAGAAGAAUUGAUUUGUAUUGGUUGUGGAUCCUGUUAAUCUUUGGUUCUGUGAUGCCUUGUACUUUCAAUAAUUUCAAUGCUAAGUACGGCUUUUUCUAUGCUGAGAAGAAAGUAGACUUUUUGAAUUUGAGUUAUCUAAUGCACUCUUUGAAUGGUACUUUAGUGAUUUUUAUUGAAGUGUAUGAAUUGUAAGUCAAAGAAUACAUACUUUACUUUGGUGGCAUCAGAGGUGGAUUUGGAAUUUCUUGGGGAUGUUUUCUUUAUCAGAGCGAUGAUUGGGAUAUCGUUAGAAUCUGACACAUUUUCUUCUGGAGUCUUGACAGUGAGAGUUGUGUCGGGUUUCUCUUUAGUUGUUACAUCUCUUGUACCACCAUUCAUUACACGUAUGAAAUGUGUAAUGGCUGCUGUACAUAGAACGGAAGUAUCGCAGAGCAUGUUUAAAGAGAGUGGUUAAUGUGACAGAAUCAACUACAAAACACAGAGACAUAAGGGAAAUUUUUCAUAGGUUUUAUUUUAAUAAUUGAGAAGGUUCUCUAUUGGAUUGAGAACAAUAGAAGCUUUAAAAAGUAGGUGGGUGUUUUUACCUUUUUCUGGAUCCAGAAUGCUUAAAUCUUGUACACAUUUUGUUUUUUCAGCUUCUAAUUGUUGAGGUACCAUUGGUUGCA
This is a non-coding RNA of Malus domestica (apple), 1876 nucleotides long. The record is from RefSeq and is a predicted model, not a curated record. NCBI's taxonomy places the organism in Eukaryota, Viridiplantae, Streptophyta, Magnoliopsida, Rosales, Rosaceae.